AACACCUUUCUGGGAGAAAGAAGGAAGCAGGAGCUUUAGCAGCAGUGCCACCGUGUGAUGAAUGCAGUUCAGUGACUUUGGUCUUGGGUUAUUUCGAGUCGGGAAGGAUGAUGUAUGAAAACCAGGAAGAGAAACAAUGGACUGAAUUUUCUUGUUCAAUUCCUACUAAAUCGUACAUGGCAAUUGAUCCUGGGGGAGAAUGUCUAAAAGAUCAAGAAGACCAGCAUCCAUGUCAGUUAAUCAACUGCGGAACCAGGGCGAGGAGGUUGUGGAACCGAUGCUGAGGCUUCUUAUUUGAGUGAGAUUUCUGUUGCAAUCUGCCCGGGAGAGGAAGAGAUAAGCUUAGAGCUGUUUAGAGCCAGAACGUGGGGCUCUGCUUCUGCUCGGAAAGUCGCUGGCCGUUUCUUCCUACACCUUCCAUCAAUAUCCUUCAAAGCUGGGCAAUAUUAAUAGUUUAUCCCUCCUCCCCAUUUUUCCAUCACAAGAUGUUUGCUGCUUUCCUGCAACCCACCAGGCAAUCAGAUUCUUCCAUAAAAGACAUGAUUACCUCUUACGUUAUUAAGUUCUCUCUCUGGAUGCAGAUGGCAUUUUCCAUCCAAAGUUUAUUGGAAUUUCCUUGGAUCACUAAAUUGCUGAGAAGAGCCAAGUUUAUCAUAGCUGAUCAUCAUACAAUUUUUCUGUUGCUAUGUAUGAAGUUUUCCUACUUCUGUUCACUUUACUCAGUAUCAGUUCAUGAAGCUGGAGACCCAACAAAACUAAUUCACAGCAAGAUGAAAGGUACUCAGCAAAUAAACAGUUCCUGCUUCUCUACUUCCCACUCUUAUCUGAGGCUGGACAUGUGAAAAGAUAGAAACCCCUCUCCUCCACUUAAAAAAAUACCAAACAGAAUUUUGAGUAGGAAAAUCAAUACAAAGUCAGAACUCAUUUUUCCAUCCCAAGGAAACUUUGGAAGACAGAAAGAAGGAUCUGUGAACAUAGGGGUGAAGGCUGUUAGGUGUGCAGCACAGUGGAAGAGACACUACUAUAGUGGCAUCAGAAGCAGCCCCAGGAGCUCCAGGAAUAAUAAGGUACUGAAGAGCUGGUGAGAAAGAGAUCCCAAAGGUAACAUUGUUCUAGCUCCCGCACAAGGUUAGGGGGAAUUACUCAGUUUUAGAUUAGUUCAGAUCAUAGAGGAGUGAUCAGAAUCACAAGGAAAGUUGCAGUGUAGAACAGGAAGAUAUGACCAAGAACUAUGAAAGGAGCAGAAAGAUAUAAAAGAUGAACUCAUCUACCCUUAAUUCUAAUACAAACUCCAAAAUCAAUAAAUAGUCUAAAAAAUCAGCUAACAACAAAAAAGAACUGGACCAUUAAAAACUAAGGUGAACAGAGACCUUAGAUUCAGUUCCAGGGAAGAGAAGACAUCUAUGACUUGCAAGAACCAAAGAGACCACAUGGAGUAAUGGCAGGAUAGCAUGAUCAGGGGCAUUAGCUAUGGCUUAUGAGUGAAAAGAAGAGCACAAGAUUGAGCCCAAAACAGACAUCAGAAAAUAACAGUAAGAAUAACAUGAGGCUUGGGAUAUCGUUUCCCAUACCUCAGAACAAGAACUUGAUCACAAUAAUAGCUGCUAAAAUAAAAUAAAAAAUAAAAGUGAGUAAGCAAAGGAGAAAGAACCCACUACAUAGCUCCUAUGGGGAUAGAGAAGAUCAGCAUUCAUAUUCAGAAAAAGAUCACGAAGGUAAAAAGCACUCCUUUUUCAAUGAGAAACAUCAAAGGGGGUCCAAAACCAAAAAUAUUUCUUAGAACUUAAGAAGGACUUUAAAAAUCAAAUAAGAAAGAUCAAGGAAAAAUUAGGGGAAAAAAUAAGAAAAACCCAAGAAAAUUACAAAAAGAAAAUCAAACAAUGUGAAAUAGAGAAUCAGAAAUUUAAGAAAGAAAAUAAUUCACUGAAAACCAUAAUUAGGUAAAUGGAAGUUAAUGACAUUCUAAGAAACAAAGACAUAAAUAAAGAAAACAAAAGAAUAAAAAAUAGAAAAAAUGUGAAACCUCACAAGAAAAACAAUUAGUAUAACAGAUCAAGAUGAAAUAUUAUAAAAAUAGUUGGACUGCUUGAAAAUUAUGAUAAAAAUAAUCUCAAAUAUAGUAUUACAAGAAAUUAUCAAGGGAAAUUUCCUGAAAUUCUAGAACAAGAAUGCAAAACAGAAAUUAUAAAAUAUUUGGGAAUCUUUCUGCCAAGGGAAAGUCAGGAACUAUAUGAGCAAAACUACAAAACACUUUCCACACAAAUAAAGUCAGAUCUAACAAAUUGGGAAAAUAUUAAAUGCUCUUGGAUAGGCUGAACAAAUAUAAUAAAGAUGACAAUGCUACCUAAACUAAUCUAUUUAUUUAGCAGUAUACCAAUCAGACUCCCAAAAAACUAUUUUAAUGACCUAGAAAAAUAACAACAAAGUUCAUAUGGAAAAACAAAAGGUAAAGAAUUUCAAGGGAAUUAAUGAAAAAAAAAUCAAAUGAAGGUGGCCUAGCUGUACCAGAUCUAAAAUUAUAUUAUAAAGCAGCAGUUACCAAAACCAUUUGGUAUUGGCUAAGAAAUAGACUAGCUGAUCAGUGGAAUAGGUUAGGUUCAAAGGACAAAACAAUCAAUAAUUUUAAUAAUCUAGUGUUUGGCAAAUUCAAAGACCCCAGAUUUUGGGAUAAGAACUCACUGUUUGACAAAAAUUGGAAAUUAGUAUGGCAGAAACUAAGCAUUGACCCACACUUAACACCAUACACCAAGGUAAGGUCAAAAUGGGUUCAUGACCUAGGCAUAAGAAUGAGAUUAUAAAUAAAUUAGAAGAACAUAGGAUAGUUUAUCUCUCAGACCUGUGGAAGAAGACAGAAUGUAUGACCAAACAAUGUAUGUAUUGAUCACAAAAUUUUAAAAAAUGUGAUUAUAUCAAAUUGAAAAGUUUUUGUACAAACAAAAGCAAUGCAGACAAGAUUAGAAGGGAAGCAAUAAACUGGGAAAACAUUUUUACAGUCGAAGGUACUGAUAAAGGCCUCAUUUCCAAAACAUAUAGAGAAUUGACUCUAAUUUAUAAGAAAUCAAACCAUUCUCCAAUUGAUAAAUGGUCAAAGGAUAUGAACAGACAAUUCUCAGAUGAAGAAAUUGAAAUUAUCUCUAGCCAUAUUAAAAGAUGUAACAAGUCACUAUUAAUCAGAGAAAUGCAAAUUAAGACAAGUCUGAGAUACCACUACACACCUGUCAGAUUGGCUAAAAUGACAGGGAAAGAUAAUGUGGAAUGUUGGAGGGGAUAUGGGAAAACUGGGACCUUAAUACAUUGUUGGUGGAAUUGCAAACACAUCCAGCCAUUCUAGAAAACGAUUUGGAACUAUGCUCAAAAAGUUAUCAAACUGUGCAUACCCUUUAAUCCAGCAGUGUCACUACUGGGCUUAUAUCCCAAAGAGAUUUAAAAAAAGGGAAAGGGACCUAUAUGUACCAAAAUAUUUGUGGCAGCCCACUUUGUAGUGGCUAGAAGCUGGAAAAUGAAUGGAUGCCCAUCAAUUGGAGAAUGGCUGAAUAAAUUGUGGCAUAUGAAUAUUGUGGAAUAUUAUUGUUCUGUAAGAAAUGACCAACAGGAGGAUUUCAGAAAGGCCUGGAGAGACUUAUAUGAACUGAUGCUGAGUGAAAUGAGCAGGACCAGGAGAUUUUAUAUAUUUCAACAACUAUACUAUAUGAUGAUCAAUUCUGAUGGAUGUGGCCCUCUUCAACAAUGAAACAAAUCAGUUCCAAUAGAGUAGUAAUGAAUUGAACCAGCUACACACAGCAAAAGAACUCUGGGAGAUUACUAUGAACCACUACAUGGAAUUCCCAAUCCCUCUAUUUUUGUCCACCUGUAUUUUUGAUUUCCUUCACAGGCUAAUUGUACACUAUUUCAAAGUCUGAUUCUUUUUGUAUGGACUGUAUAAUAACUGUAUGGACAUGUAUACAUAUAUUGUAUUUAAAAUAUACUUUAACAUAUUUAACAUGUAUUGGUCAACCUGCCAUCUGGGGGGAAGGGGUGGGGGAAAAGAGGGAAAAAGUUGGAACAAAAGGUUUUGCAGUUGUCAAUGCUGAAAAAUUACCCAUACAUAUAUCUUGUAAAUAAAAAGCUAUAAUAAAAAAAAAAAAAAGAAAAAAGGGAAACUUCACUGUCAGCCAUAUUAUUCAGUAUUGCUUUAGACCAUUUAAAAUAACUAGACAAUAUAAAAAACAUGAGAGCAUACCUGCCAAAACACAGGAAUCAUGUGGAUAUAGGCAUAAAACAUUUUUAUGUAAAUAGAUCUAAAUAUUUGAAGUAAUUAAUAUUUAUUGUUCAUAUAUAGAUAAAACCAAUAUAAUAAAAAUUACAAUUUUAUAUUUAUAUAAAUUUUAUAUAAUGCCAUACUAUUUAUAUUUUUAUAAUGCCAUACUAAUUAAAUUAUUUUUAAAAUUAUCUUGCUGUUAGAAAAAAUAUAACAAAGUUCAUUUAGAAGACCAAAAUAUCAGAAACUUCAAAGAAACCGGGGGAAAAAGAUGUAAAAGAAGCAGAUUCAGUAAUGUCAGAGCUUAAAUCAUAUUAUAAGAUGAGAGCAUUGUGAAGUGUAAAAUGAACAAUUUUGAAUAUUUUAAAUUAAAUUUUUCUUGUAUAAAGAAUAAAACCUAUGCAGUUCAGAAUUGAAAAAAUGAAAAAAAUGGAGGGGGAUUACUUUCAUGCAUAAUCUCCCAGACAGAACAUAAUUGGGUUGGAACAUUGCUUUUGUGUAGGAAUUGAUGAGCUGGUAGAUUUAGAAAUAUAUGGAAAGACUUGUGAAAGAAGAUGCUAUCAGCCUUGAGAGAAACAGAUGACAAGUGGAAAUAAGCUUAGUUCAGUUUUAUAUAUAUUAAGUGUAUAUGUGUAUAUGUGUGUGCAGAUAUAUGUAUACAUUCAUGCUUAAUUGUACCCUUCUUGGGGAAAAGGCAAAAUAGGAAGAGGAAAAAAACAACUUAAAAAGUACACAGAGAACAAAAGAAUAUUUACAAGAAAACAAAGCUGGACGGUUUUGAAAACAAUGUGUAGUAUUUACUAUAUAGCUUUUCUUGAAAUAAAAAAAAAUUGCUUUAUAUUGAA
Molecule: long non-coding RNA, 5082 nt
Organism: Antechinus flavipes (yellow-footed antechinus)
Lineage: Eukaryota; Metazoa; Chordata; Mammalia; Dasyuromorphia; Dasyuridae
Exons: 3
Source: RefSeq, a predicted model, not a curated record